UUGAACGCUGGCGGAAUGCUUUACACAUGCAAGUCGAGCGGCAGCGCGGGGGCAACUCUGGCGGCGAGCGGCGAACGGGUGAGUAACACAUCGGAACGCGUCCAGUAAUGGGGGAUAACCUGGCGAAAGCCAGGCUAAUACCGCAUACGUCCUGAGGGGGAAAGCGGGGGACCUUCGGGCCUCGCGCGAUUGGAGCGGCUGAUGUCGGAUUAGCUAGUUGGUGGGGUAAAGGCCUACCAAGGCGACGAUCCGUAGCUGGUCUGAGAGGAUGAUCAGCCACACUGGGACUGAGACACGGCCCAGACUCCUACGGGAGGCAGCAGUGGGGAAUUUUGGACAAUGGGCGCAAGCCUGAUCCAGCCAUGCCGCGUGAGUGAAGAAGGCCUUCGGGUUGUAAAGCUCUUUCAGACGGAAAGAAAUCGGGCGCGUGAAUAGCGUGCCUGGAUGACGGUACUGUCAGAAGAAGCACCGGCUAACUACGU
RNAcentral lists this ribosomal RNA (482 nucleotides) under uncultured bacterium. Its description in RNAcentral is "bacterial SSU rRNA". It matches the Rfam family "Bacterial small subunit ribosomal RNA", at positions 29 to 506 of the family's 1533-position model. The record is from RNAcentral.